GUGCCGUAGCUAACGCAUUAAGUACCCCGCCUGGGGAGUACGGCCGNNNNNNUAAAACUCAAAGGAAUUGNACGGGGCCCCGCACAAGCGGCGGAGCAUGCGGAUUAAUUCGAUGCAACGCGAAGAACCUUACCUGGGUUUGACAUAUAUCGGAAACGUUCAGAGAUGGGCGCCCCGUAAGGUCGGUAUACAGGUGGUGCAUGGCUGUCGUCAGCUCGUGUCGUGAGAUGUUGGGUUAAGUCCCGCAACGAGCGCAACCCUCGUCCAAUGUUGCCAGCGGGUUAUGCCGGGGACUCAUUGGAGACCGCCGGGGUCAACUCGGAGGAAGGUGGGGAUGACGUCAAGUCAUCAUGCCCCUUAUGUCCAGGGCUUCACGCAUGCUACAAUGGCCGGUACAAAGAGUUGCGAGCCUGUGAGGGUGAGCGAAUCUCAAAAAGCCGGUCUCAGUUCGGAUUGGGGUCUGCAACUCGACCCCAUGAAGUCGGAGUCGCUAGUAAUCGCAGAUCAGCAACGCUGCGGUGAAUACGUUCCCGGGGCUUGUACACACCGCCCGUCAAGUCAUGAAAGUCGGUAACACCCGAAGCCGGUGGNNUAACCCGUUUGGGGGGGAGCUGUCGAAGGUGGGACUGGUAAUUAGGACUAAGUCGUAACAAGGUAGCC
This 660-nucleotide ribosomal RNA is filed under the name uncultured bacterium. Its description in RNAcentral is "bacterial SSU rRNA". It matches the Rfam family "Bacterial small subunit ribosomal RNA", at positions 843 to 1501 of the family's 1533-position model. The record is from RNAcentral.